GGCUGGGCUUCAGUUGAACUUCAUGAUGGUUCCUCACAGGUUCUUUGUGCUGUCUUUUCUGCUGGUGCUCAUCUCUCAUGCGUUCGGGUCUCCGGUUGAGCGGGAGCUGGUACGUGAGGACGGGCUCCUACUGGUCAGAGACUACAGAGAUACCCAUAAUACCUUGGGGGAGAAGAAGCUGAUGCUCUGGGAUGGAGAUGAAGGUUCUGGAGCUUCUGCAGGAGUGGUGGAGAUGAAGGGCAGGUGAAAAG
Molecule: long non-coding RNA, 251 nt
Organism: Colossoma macropomum (tambaqui)
Lineage: Eukaryota; Metazoa; Chordata; Actinopteri; Characiformes; Serrasalmidae
Exons: 3
Source: RefSeq, a predicted model, not a curated record